UCACAGAUAUAACCAAUAGUUCUUCAGUCAAUAGAUGUUAUGAUUACCAAACUGGAAGAGAGAAGACACUGUCUUGUACAAUGCCUAGACUCAUUUUCCUUAAAUGAGAAAAGGAAUGGGCUUGGCAUUGUAGUUCUUACACCUACUAGAGUAUUAGCUCUUCAAAAGCAUUUGUAUAUGUGGUGAUGGAAACAGAGAGGGAAAAAUUCAAGACUUUAUCAAAGGUAUAGAAAUCAGUGUUGAAAUUCUUGAAAGACUGGAUGAUCUGUAAAUGAAUAACUCUGUCAACCUGAAAACCUGAUUUACUUGAUCUUAUACAAAGCAUAUAAGAUGCUAGGCAUGGAUUUUAAUGCCAGAUAAUGCAAAUUGUAUUAGAUGUAUGUUCAGACAGACAGACAAACAGACUCUUAGGGGAAGUACAGCUUGGCCAGACCCUAUCCAUUGACUUGCACAAUCUUACUUAUUAUAUAUGUACUUUGGACCUAGUUGAUGCAAACACAGUGAAACAAAAUAUAAUUGUUACCACAGGUGAAGGGAAAUAAUCUUUUAGCCAAAUACUCCUAGAGAACAUAUCUCCCAAAUACAAAGUCAUCAUGUUUGUCAGCAAAAAAGUUGUUUCUGAUUAUUUCCCAAGUGAUCUGAGUGACCCAGGCAUACCAGAAUUUCUUUAUGGCAAUAGAGAACAGAGAAAGGAGGGUAAGCAUUAAAGUACUCUAAAAAAGGAAAAGUGACAAUACUGAUUGCUACCAGUCUAGCACCCCAAGUUCGUAUUGUUCAUAAUGUCACACUCAUCUAUGACUUCCCCCAGAACAUUGAAUAAUAGGUCCACUGAGUGUGGUGUUCCAGAAAAGCAGAAAUGACAGGAAUAUCUGUUACCUUUAUCACUAAACAUGAUUGGAAGAUUGCCACAAAACUGUUUAAAAUUCUGAAAAGAGAAAAUUAGAAUAUCCUGGAUGGUCUUGUGUCAAUAGGUGAAAAGUAUAAGUUAUAUAAGCAAAUAAGCAAAAAGGAAUAGAAAUAAGAUUAGUAAAACUCAAGGAAAACCCAAGAAGUUUUCUUGAUGUUUAUAUGCAAAAGUGGACCAGGCCAUUGGAGAAUUCAAGAUUUCUUUUAAAAUAUAUAAUAUUUAAGAUAUAUUUGGAAGUACUGGAAGCAUACUGGCAGUCUGAAGAGAU
Molecule: long non-coding RNA, 1175 nt
Filed under: Homo sapiens (human)
Lineage: Eukaryota; Metazoa; Chordata; Mammalia; Primates; Hominidae
Description: non-protein coding lnc-USP26-2:1
Source: RNAcentral